GACGAGCGCUGGCGGCGUGCUUAACACAUGCAAGUCGAACGAUGAAGAAGAGAAACGCGAACUUCGGUUCAAAUUUCACUUCGGAUUAGUGGCAGACGGGUGAGUAACGCGUGAGCGACCUACCUCUUACAAAGGGAUAGCCUCGGGAAACCGUGAUUAAUACCAUAUGACACAUUCAUAAGGCAUCUUAAGAAUGUUAAAGCUACGGCGGUAAGAGAUGGGCUCGCGUCCCAUUAGCUAGUUGGUGAGGUAACGGCCCACCAAGGCGACGAUGGGUAACCGGCCUGAGAGGGUGAACGGUAACAUUGGAACUGAGACACGGUCCAAACUCCUACGGGAGGCAGCAGUGGGGAAUAUUGCACAAUGGAGGGAACUCUGAUGCAGCGACGCCGCGUGAGCGAUGAAGGAAUUCGUUUCGUAAAGCUCUGUUCUAUGGGAAGAAAAGGACUGUACCAUAGGAGAAAGCCCCGGCUAAAUACGUG
This 482-nucleotide ribosomal RNA is filed under the name uncultured bacterium. RNAcentral's name for it is "partial 16S ribosomal RNA". It matches the Rfam family "Bacterial small subunit ribosomal RNA", at positions 28 to 507 of the family's 1533-position model. The record is from RNAcentral.